GCUGGUGUAGCUCAGUUGGCUAGAGCAGCUGAUUUGUAAUCAGCAGGUCGUGGGUUCGAGUCCCUUCACCAGCUCCA
RNAcentral lists this transfer RNA (77 nucleotides) under Sulfurovaceae bacterium. Its description in RNAcentral is "tRNA-Thr". It matches the Rfam family "tRNA". From Rfam's summary of the family: Transfer RNA (tRNA) molecules are approximately 80 nucleotides in length. Their secondary structure includes four short double-helical elements and three loops (D, anti-codon, and T loops). The record is from RNAcentral. Lineage: Bacteria; Pseudomonadati; Campylobacterota; Epsilonproteobacteria; Campylobacterales; Sulfurovaceae.